AUUGAACGCUGGCGGAAUGCUUUACACAUGCAAGUCGAACGGCAGCACGGGGGCAGUCCUGGUGGCGAGUGGCGAACGGGUGAGUAAUACAUCGGAACGUGCCCGGUCGUGGGGGAUAACGUAGCGAAAGUUACGCUAAUACCGCAUACGAUCUGAGGAUGAAAGCGGGGGACCUUCGGGCCUCGCGCGAUCGGAGCGGCCGAUGUCAGAUUAGGUAGUUGGUGGGGUAAAGGCCUACCAAGCCGACGAUCUGUAGCUGGUCUGAGAGGACGACCAGCCACACUGGGACUGAGACACGGCCCAGACUCCUACGGGAGGCAGCAGUGGGGAAUUUUGGACAAUGGGCGCAAGCCUGAGCCAGCCAUUCCGCGUGCAGGACGAAGGCCUUCGGGUUGUAAACUGCUUUUGUACGGAACGAAAAGGCUCUGGCUAAUACCUGGGGCUCAUGACGGUACCGUAAGAAUAAGCACCGGCUAACUACGUG
RNAcentral lists this ribosomal RNA (484 nucleotides) under uncultured bacterium. Its description in RNAcentral is "partial 16S ribosomal RNA". It matches the Rfam family "Bacterial small subunit ribosomal RNA", at positions 30 to 507 of the family's 1533-position model. The record is from RNAcentral.